Leptonychotes weddellii (Weddell seal) is the source of this 1454-nucleotide non-coding RNA. The record is from RefSeq and is a predicted model, not a curated record. Lineage: Eukaryota; Metazoa; Chordata; Mammalia; Carnivora; Phocidae.
AACCCAGUAUAAAAAUCUUAGAAAAUGCAGGCUGAGGACAGAGUUUUCUACUGAUGGUUUCCCUUUGUAAUCUGGGAUUACCCUCUCACUGCUAGUAAUUUUCAAGAAUGGGUGAUGCAGCUCAGAAAUUAUUCUGCUCUAACAAUAGUGACUGUGGCAGAUUAUUUAAAGGCCACAAAUUCUCCCCCCCAGAGUAUGCAUGCCCCUUUGCAGAAAUGACAUGUGAGCCUUAAAAGACCUUGCCAGUUUCCACUUUUGCCCUCUUGGAAUACUGCCAUGAGACUGUUAGGUAAGAAAUCCAGUCUAGCCCACUGAAGAAGUAAGGCAGUCUAGCAUUAACUACUGGACAUGUGAAUGAACCCAUUUUGGACACUCUAGCCCAGCCAAUCCUCUAGCUGGAUGCAACUGCAUGAGAGAGCCUAGGUAAAACUAGCAGAGGAACUGCUUAGCGAACUCGAACACUGUGAGGAAUAAUCAGUUGUUUCAAGUCACCAAAUUUUGAACUGGGUUUUUAUGCAAGAACAGAUAACUGAUAACAGUGAAUAAUGUCUGCGUGUCUACUAGAAAACUACAGGGAGUAUCAGCUGGCACUCUAUCACAGAGAAACACUGACAAAGUGUUUCUUUUCCCUGAUUUCAUUGUAAUAAGCCACAUUCCAAUUAUGGAAAACUCACUCAGCUGCAGGAACCAUAAAGAAAUCUGGAAUGGAACUCACAGUUGGUGUUGAACCUCACUCCUACCCCACUAGGAACCCAUCCCAUUACUGAUAUUAAACUCUAGGUCCAUCUUAUUACUCACGCUUCUCGAUCUUCUCUGUCCCUCUUGAUUCUCUUUAGCUCCCGGACUUUCCAUGCCUCAUAUUCUUCCUCAUCAUUUUCAUCAUCAGUAUUGAGAGCAUCCAGUGCAGCCAGGGAUCGCUUGUUCUCCUCCAGCUCUUUCUUGGUCUCCUCUUCUACAAUCUGGGUAGAGCCCUAUAUUCCUGGUAAGCAAGAGUUCAAGCAGGAGAAGAAGAGAGCUGCUAUCCAACCAUCUAUUCAUCUAAUGGUGUUUUCCUGCCAAGACCAAGUCAUGGGAAAACAUUCUUGUGACUACCAACACUAAUGAUAAAGAAGUUGUCCCCAGGCUGAUUCUAAAAUCACAUGGAAGAAUAAGAGGCCAAAAAGAACCAAGACAAUUCUGAAGAACAAGGGGAGGCCGAAGAAUUUAACACACCUCACCAAAGAAGAUACACAGAUGGCAAAUAAGCAUAUUUGCUUCAAAUCAUAUGUUGUCAGGGAAAUGCAAAAUAAAAUGAGAUACCACUGCACAUGUAUUAGAAUAACCAAACUACAGAGCUCUGACAACACCAAAUGCUGGCGAGAAUGUGGACUAACAAGAACUCUCAUUUGUUACUGGUGGGAAUGCAAAAUGGCACAGCCACUUUGGAAGACAGUUUGGUGGUUUCUUAUAAAACU